GGUGGAUUCGUCUAGGGGUUAGGACAGAUGCCUCUCACGCAUCAAACAGGGGUUCGAUUCCCCUAUCCACUA
Molecule: transfer RNA, 72 nt
Filed under: Prevotella sp.
Lineage: Bacteria; Pseudomonadati; Bacteroidota; Bacteroidia; Bacteroidales; Prevotellaceae
Description: tRNA-Glu
Rfam family: tRNA
About the family: Transfer RNA (tRNA) molecules are approximately 80 nucleotides in length. Their secondary structure includes four short double-helical elements and three loops (D, anti-codon, and T loops).
Source: RNAcentral